Molecule: ribosomal RNA, 450 nt
Filed under: uncultured bacterium
Lineage: Bacteria
Description: partial 16S ribosomal RNA
Rfam family: Bacterial small subunit ribosomal RNA
Source: RNAcentral
GUAGGGAAUCUUCCACAAUGGACGAAAGUCUGAUGGAGCAACGCCGCGUGAGUGAAGAAGGUCUUCGGAUCGUAAAACUCUGUUGUUAGAGAAGAACGUGCAUGAUAGUAACUGAUCAUGUAAUGACGGUAUCUAACCAGAAAGCCACGGCUAACUACGUGCCAGCAGCCGCGGUAAUACGUAGGUGGCAAGCGUUGUCCGGAUUUAUUGGGCGUAAAUGGAACGCAGGCGGUUUUUUAAGUCUGAUGUGAAAGCCUUCGGCUUAACCGAAGAAUAGCAUUGGAAACUGGAAGACUUGAGUGCAGAAGAGGAGAGUGGAAUUCCAUGUGUAGCGGUGAAAUGCGUAGAUAUUCGGAAGAACACCAGUGGCGAAGGCGACUCACUGGCUCAUUACUGACGCUGAGGCUCGAAAGCGUGGGGAGCAAACAGGAUUAGAAACCCUUGUAGUCC